GGGACCGAUGAUGACGGCUGGUGGCGUAGGAGUCACGGAUGAUGAAUGCUACGUGUCUGAAACUCUGAGGUCCAA
Small nucleolar RNA from Mustela erminea (ermine), 75 nucleotides. RefSeq annotates it as small nucleolar RNA SNORD113/SNORD114 family. NCBI's taxonomy places the organism in Eukaryota, Metazoa, Chordata, Mammalia, Carnivora, Mustelidae. The record is from RefSeq and is a predicted model, not a curated record. The transcript has a single exon.